Lycium ferocissimum is the source of this 101-nucleotide small nuclear RNA. Lineage: Eukaryota; Viridiplantae; Streptophyta; Magnoliopsida; Solanales; Solanaceae. The record is from RefSeq and is a predicted model, not a curated record.
GUCCUUUGGGGACAUCCGAUAAAACUGAAACGAUACAUAGAAGAUUAGCAUGGUCCCUGUGCAACGAUGGCAGGCACAAAACAAAUCGAGAAAUGGUCCAA